ACACUGACGUCGCGACGCAUAUCAAUAAGCGGAGGAAAAGAAACUAACAAGGAUUCCCUUAGUAACGACGAGUGAAGCGGGAAGAGCUCAAAUUUGAAAUCUUCAAGGUUCUACCUUGACGAAUUGUAGUUUAAAGAAGUGUUUUCUGUUAGAUGAGUAGCAAAAGUUCCUUGGAAUGGGACAUCAUAGAGGGUGAGAAUCCCGUAUUUGGUUAUUCAUUCUAGCUUUGUGAUACACUUUCAAAGAGUCGGAUUGUUUGGGAAUGCAGUCCAAAAUGGGUGGUAAAUUUCAUCUAAAGCUAAAUAUUGGCGAGAGACCGAUAGCGAACAAGUACCGUGAGGGAAAGAUGAAAAGAACUUUGAAAAGAGAGUUAAACAGUACGUGAAAUUGUCAAAAGGGAAGCGUUUGACACCAGUGUUGUUUUUCCAAAAAUCAAUUACGAAUGGCUUGAUUUUGUGUUGUAUUGACCUUAUCAGCUUUCUGCACUUUUUUCGAGUCUUUCUUAAUGCACUUUUUGGUUAACAAGUCAACAUCAAUUUCUUUUGUUGUAAAAGAGUAUUCGGAAGGUGGCUUUCUUUUCGGAGAAAGUGUUUAUAGCCCUAUACUUCUACAAUCGGAGAGAUUGAGGUCUGCAGCGUAGAUCCUUCGGGGUUAGAUACAUUUGUGCUAAGUUGUAGCUUUUCAUAGACAACUUGUUGACUAUGUUUAGUCAUGCGGCUUACUCGCUUAUGCUAUUUUACCUACGCUUAGGAUGUUGAGUCGUAGAGCACGCAG
RNAcentral lists this ribosomal RNA (774 nucleotides) under uncultured Neocallimastigales. RNAcentral's name for it is "partial large subunit ribosomal RNA". It matches the Rfam family "Eukaryotic large subunit ribosomal RNA", at positions 25 to 632 of the family's 3401-position model. Lineage: Eukaryota; Fungi; Neocallimastigomycota; Neocallimastigomycetes; Neocallimastigales. The record is from RNAcentral.